This 253-nucleotide ribosomal RNA is filed under the name uncultured bacterium. RNAcentral's name for it is "partial 16S ribosomal RNA". It matches the Rfam family "Bacterial small subunit ribosomal RNA", at positions 524 to 776 of the family's 1533-position model. The record is from RNAcentral.
UACGGGGGGUGCGAGCGUUGUCCGGAAUCACUGGGCGUAAAGGGUGCGUAGGCGGCGCGGUAAGUCGGGUGUGAAAUCUCGGAGCUUAACUCCGAAACUGCAUUCGAUACUGCCGUGCUUGAGGACUGGAGAGGAGACUGGAAUUUACGGUGUAGCGGUGAAAUGCGUAGAUAUCGUAAGGAAGACCAGUGGCGAAGGCGGGUCUCUGGACAGUUCCUGACGCUGAGGCACGAAGGUCAGGGGAGCAAACGGG